This 394-nucleotide long non-coding RNA is filed under the name Manihot esculenta (cassava). Its description in RNAcentral is "long non-coding RNA (MESC_LNC010372)". The record is from RNAcentral. Lineage: Eukaryota; Viridiplantae; Streptophyta; Magnoliopsida; Malpighiales; Euphorbiaceae.
UGGAAUCUCGGAUGUCGGAAGCCUCUAGUAGGGUAGAAUCAUGUUUUUAUAAAAUGUUUUAAGGUAUUUCAUGGUUUUAAGUAAAAUAGAAAUGAGUUUUUGCAUAAAAACAACCUUGAAGGAAAACCCAGGUUCGGCCAUCGAACCUCAAGUUCGGCCGCCGAACAUGUAUGCCUUCGGGAGCGCCUUUAGGCCCCCGAAAGCAUAAGUGAGGAAAGUCCAGGUUCGGCCGCCGAACCUCAAGUUCGGCCGCCGAACCUCAAGUUCGGCCGCCGAACCUCAAGUUCGGCCGCCGAACCUCAAGUUCGGCCGCCGAACCUCAAGUUCGGCCGCCGAACCUCAAGUUCGGCCGCCGAACCUCAAGUUCGGCCGCCGAACAUGGCAUGCAUGCGGA